UGGGGAAUAUUGCACAAUGGGCGAAAGCCUGAUGCAGCGACGCCGCGUGAGGGAUGACGGCCUUCGGGUUGUAAACCUCUUUCAGUAGGGACGAAGCGCAAGUGACGGUACCUGCAGAAGAAGCACCGUCUAACUACGUGCCAGCAGCCGCGGUAAUACGUAGGGUGCGAGCGUUGUCCGGAAUUACUGGGCGUAAAGAGCUCGUAGGCGGUUUGUCACGUCGUCUGUGAAAUCCUAGGGCUUAACCCUGGACGUGCAGGCGAUACGGGCUGACUUGAGUACUACAGGGGAGACUGGAAUUUCUGGUGUAGCGGUGGAAUGCACAGAUAUCAGGAAGAACACCGAUGGCGAAGGCAGGUCUCUGGGUAGUAACUGACGCUGAGGAGCGAAAGCAUGGGUAGCGAACAGG
Molecule: ribosomal RNA, 409 nt
Filed under: bacterium
Lineage: Bacteria
Description: partial 16S ribosomal RNA
Rfam family: Bacterial small subunit ribosomal RNA
Source: RNAcentral